Molecule: non-coding RNA, 29 nt
Filed under: Mus musculus (house mouse)
Lineage: Eukaryota; Metazoa; Chordata; Mammalia; Rodentia; Muridae
Source: RNAcentral
UCCUACUGGCUUUUGAAUGAGAAGCUCCA